Cervus elaphus (red deer) is the source of this 384-nucleotide long non-coding RNA. RefSeq lists it as uncharacterized. NCBI's taxonomy places the organism in Eukaryota, Metazoa, Chordata, Mammalia, Artiodactyla, Cervidae. The record is from RefSeq and is a predicted model, not a curated record. The transcript is spliced from 3 exons.
CAGCGGCGGUGUUGGCGUUGGGGGCGGGGCAGGAAAGGAUGGGUGCCUGCUCUACCUGCGCGGAGGGAGGAGGCCGGUAGAGUGGAGGAUGAGAGGCACCGAGCCCCCCAGGGUAUCAUGUUAUUUCAGUCUGUUGAUUUCUUGAAGUUGGAUUCUUAACAGACCCAGAAUUACUGGACCAGAAGAUAGAAACACUUGGGUGGAAUUUCACCUCUUGCAGCUGCAACUGCUACUUCCCACAGAAUUUCCUUAUUAAACGGAAAAUUAGCAUGUGUUAAAGACAGAUUCACAUCUACUUGACUCUUUCUCUCUGAUGAAAAUAGAAAAAUUGAAAAAAAAUUUAAAAAGUGACAUCUUCGAAGAAAAAUGGGAACGACUGUUCAA